UGAUGAACUAAGGUGGUAACGGAGCC
RNAcentral lists this non-coding RNA (26 nucleotides) under Homo sapiens (human). The record is from RNAcentral. Lineage: Eukaryota; Metazoa; Chordata; Mammalia; Primates; Hominidae.